GGGGCUGUGGCUCAGAGGUAGAGCACUUGCCUGGCAUGUGUGAGGCACUGGGUUCGAUCCUCAGCACCA
Molecule: transfer RNA, 69 nt
Filed under: Ictidomys tridecemlineatus (thirteen-lined ground squirrel)
Lineage: Eukaryota; Metazoa; Chordata; Mammalia; Rodentia; Sciuridae
Also listed under: 1 other name
Description: Spermophilus tridecemlineatus (thirteen-lined ground squirrel) tRNA
Rfam family: tRNA
About the family: Transfer RNA (tRNA) molecules are approximately 80 nucleotides in length. Their secondary structure includes four short double-helical elements and three loops (D, anti-codon, and T loops). Further hydrogen bonds mediate the characteristic L-shaped molecular structure. tRNAs have two regions of fundamental functional importance: the anti-codon, which is responsible for specific mRNA codon recognition, and the 3' end, to which the tRNAs corresponding amino acid is attached (by aminoacyl-tRNA synthetases). tRNAs cope with the degeneracy of the genetic code in two manners: having more than one tRNA (with a specific anti-codon) for a particular amino acid; and 'wobble' base-pairing, i.e. permitting non-standard base-pairing at the 3rd anti-codon position.
Source: Rfam by way of RNAcentral